CUUAGGCGUGUGACUGCGUACCUUUUGUAUAAUGGGUCAGCGACUUAUAUUCUGUAGCAAGGUUAACCGAAUAGGGGAGCCGAAGGGAAACCGAGUCUUAACUGGGCGUUAAGUUGCAGGGUAUAGACCCGAAACCCGGUGAUCUAGCCAUGGGCAGGUUGAAGGUUGGGUAACACUAACUGGAGGACCGAACCGACUAAUGUUGAAAAAUUAGCGGAUGACUUGUGGCUGGGGGUGAAAGGCCAAUCAAACCGGGAGAUAGCUGGUUCUCCCCGAAAGCUAUUUAGGUAGCGCCUCGUGAAUUCAUCUCCGGGGGUAGAGCACUGUUUCGGCAAGGGGGUCAUCCCGACUUACCAACCCGAUGCAAACUGCGA
RNAcentral lists this ribosomal RNA (374 nucleotides) under Escherichia coli. Its description in RNAcentral is "partial 23S ribosomal RNA". It matches the Rfam family "Bacterial large subunit ribosomal RNA", at positions 584 to 959 of the family's 2925-position model. The record is from RNAcentral. Lineage: Bacteria; Pseudomonadati; Pseudomonadota; Gammaproteobacteria; Enterobacterales; Enterobacteriaceae.